This 451-nucleotide ribosomal RNA is filed under the name uncultured Bacteroidales bacterium. RNAcentral's name for it is "bacterial SSU rRNA". It matches the Rfam family "Bacterial small subunit ribosomal RNA", at positions 250 to 698 of the family's 1533-position model. The record is from RNAcentral. Lineage: Bacteria; Pseudomonadati; Bacteroidota; Bacteroidia; Bacteroidales.
UGGCGGGGUAACGGCCCACCAAACCGACGAUGGAUAGGGGUUCUGAGAGGAAGGUCCCCCACAUUGGUACUGAGACACGGACCAGACUCUUACGGGAGGCAGCAGUGAGGAAUAUUGGUCAAUGUCCGAGAGGCUGAACCAGCCAAGUCGCCUGAGGGAUGAAGGUUCUAUGGAUCGUAAACCUCUUUUAUAAGGGAAUAAAGUGCGGGACGUGUCCCGUUUUGUAUGUACCUUAUGAAUAAGGAUCGGCUAACUCCGUGCCAGCAGCCGCGGUAAUACGGAGGAUCCGAGCGUUAUCCGGAUUUAUUGGGUUUAAAGGGUGCGUAGGCGGCCUUUUAAGUCAGCGGUGAAAGUCUGUGGCUCAACCAUAGUAUUGCCGUUGAAACUGGGAGGCUUGAGUAUGUUUGAGGCAGGCGGAAUGCGUGGUGUAGCGGUGAAAUGCAUAGAUAUC